UGUUCUAUUAUAAUCUCCACCCGGCACAGCCAGAAGAGGACUGGCCACCCCACAUAGCCUGGUUCCUCUCUAGGUUUCUUCCUAGGUUUUGGCCUUUCUAGGGAGUUUUUCCUAGCCAACGUGCUUCAACACCUGCAUUGCUUUCUGUUUGGGGUUUUAGGCUGGGUUUCUGUACAGCACUUUGAGUUAUCAGCUGAUGUAAGAAGGGCUAUAUUAAUACAUUUGAUUUGAUUUGACAUAAUAAUUUCGGGGGAUCACUUUAAUAACCGAAGCACUUGGAAGUUAUGCAUGACGUUAUGACAUUAGGCCUAUGUCAGAUAACAAAAUAGCAGCCUACAGUGUUACUGCAUAAUUAAAGUUGUAAGUUACACAGUUACAUAGUUAACACUGUUAACUGGGUCGUUCAUAGUGAAUGAUAGCUUACAUUUCACAUGAAUAUACAAUUAUUAGCUAUUAAUAAAGGCCUAGACUGGGCGGCAGGUAGCCUAGUGGUUAGAGCGUUGCGCCAGUAACUGAAAGGUUAGGUUGCUGGAUCAAAUCCCCGAGCUGAUAAGGUAAAAUCUGUCAUUCUGCCCUUAAACAAGUCAGUUCACCCACUGUUCCCCGGUAGGCCAUCAUUGUAAAUAAGAAUUUGUUCUUAACUGACUUGCCUAGUUAAAUAAAAAAGAUGCGUUCCCUUUAAAUAUCCUUCGCUGCAGAUAAGGUGAGUAGUGGUAGGCUACACAGCGCGGGUGGAGAGAGCGCGUUUUCUCGCCCAUUCUCCAUCCCCUGUCUCUUUGUAUGCAUAGCAGUGCCCGACUGCAGGUUUGACUAAGCUUUGUAGAUACGGCUACACCAGGCUAAUGGCUGUACUGAUCAUUAGAAGGACUGAGACCUAGGGUAAUUAAAGCAUGCCUUACCCCCAACAAAGCAGAGAACAGAGAAAGUGAUGCAGAUGCCAAUGAUUCGGGAUCUGACACUGAGGAAUUGCAUAAUCUGUCUCUCAGUCCAGGAUGUUGCCACUGAGCACCAUAUGAGGACAGUUACCUUUGCGGCUGUCUGAUGCGGGCAACGUC
This 1055-nucleotide long non-coding RNA is filed under the name Oncorhynchus kisutch (coho salmon). RNAcentral describes it as "lncRNA (ENSOKIG00005000651.1)". The record is from RNAcentral. Lineage: Eukaryota; Metazoa; Chordata; Actinopteri; Salmoniformes; Salmonidae.